This is a non-coding RNA of Picea glauca (white spruce), 114 nucleotides long. The record is from Rfam. Lineage: Eukaryota; Viridiplantae; Streptophyta; Pinopsida; Pinales; Pinaceae.
GGGUGUGAUCAUACCAGCGUUAAUGCACUGGAUCCCAUCAAAACUCCGCAGUUAAGUGUGUUUGGGCUAGAGUAGUACUGGGAUGGGUGAUAAAAAUGUUAAGUAAUGUCUAUU